Diachasmimorpha longicaudata is the source of this 921-nucleotide long non-coding RNA. RefSeq lists it as uncharacterized. Lineage: Eukaryota; Metazoa; Arthropoda; Insecta; Hymenoptera; Braconidae. The record is from RefSeq and is a predicted model, not a curated record. The transcript has 3 exons.
CAGUUCAACCGCUACAAGUGAAUUCGCAGUUUAGUGAACCAGUAAUUCUCGAUCGAAUAUAUUUAUUCACUAUUCAGAACCGGACUCAAUUCAUUAAGAAAUAGAGAUCUCUUUAUUUACCAAAUCGUACAUCACCAAUGAGAGCCUCUCGCGAAUACAACUAAUUAUCAUUUUGAGUUAUUUAAUUCAAAUAGUUUACUCUCAAUGCUCUAUAGAGGGACGAAAACCAUCGCGCGCUAAGAUGCGUUCAAUCAACGGACGUUUUAGCCAGUAUAACAUACGCUAGUAACGGAAGCACAAGUGUCCCUUAUAAGCCUUCAAAGUUUAAGUGAAUUCUCAAUUCUCAAUUGCGUAACAAAAAAUAUCUAUUGGUUUAAGUACAUCACCAGUGUUACGCUAAUUUAGCUGAAGAUAAUCACCAUUGUAAAAUUGUCUCAAAGACGCGAGGUCACGCCUCAAUAAUUUUUAAUAAAAUCAGUGCAUCCCCAAUAAGACUCCCGUGUCCCGUGAUCUUUAAUUUCCCCACCUAUCCCAAAUCACCACCGCAAACUCGUCUCCAUCUCAAACACAAAUAAAGUGUGGAAUUUUCAUUUUUCCCCCAAAUUGACUUCAAUAUCCCCGAUUGGAACAGUGAAAAGGGCAGAUGAGGAUUUGAGCUUUUGCGUCGUGAUUUAACGGCUGUGAAAAGAAACCUAGGCUCUUUAUUCCGUUCUUACAAUUAGAGCGUCGCACAUGUCCCAGGAAAGAUUUAUAUUUUACGAGCUCAUUACUGAAUAAAUUCCCGGAAAAAUUGAAUGAAGUCAUUCUGUUGGAAUUGACAAUUGAUCUGUGAAUUCUCACUUAUAUUAUCCAACGCCUGGAUAAUUGCCGAGGAUAAAUCGCCCACGCCUGAGACAGUGAACAAUGCGGUAAUUGAUGCUG